This is a long non-coding RNA of Physeter macrocephalus (sperm whale), 799 nucleotides long. RefSeq lists it as uncharacterized. The record is from RefSeq and is a predicted model, not a curated record. Lineage: Eukaryota; Metazoa; Chordata; Mammalia; Artiodactyla; Physeteridae. The transcript has 5 exons.
AGCAGAUUUGGUGUGUGGUGAGAACCAGCAUCCUGGCUUGCAGAUGACUGUCUUCUUGCUGUGUCCUCACGUGGUGGAAAAAGGUCAGACCAAGAGCUGCAAAUGAAACAGAUAUCCAUGAGUUCGGGUGUUUAAGAAACAAGCUAGAAGAGUCUACCAAGAAGAUUCCUGGGGUACAAUGCUGAGUGCGCCCCAACUAAAGUGCACAGAGAUUGCCGUCGCCAGAGUUAUCAUCAUUUUCAUCAUGGUCACCAUUUAUUGAAAGCUCGCUGUCUACUUGGCACUGCAUUAAGAGGAGGAAAAACUAUGAUGGUCAUAGAUGCAAGAACCAAACCAAACCUUGGAAGCACAUUUAUGGCCUCUGCUCACACCAAGUCCUUAUCAUUCCAUUGGCCCAAGCAAGUUAUAUGGCGAAGUCCAACAUCCAUAAGUAACUGCUGGGAGCCCACGACUAGAACAGCCAUCAACUGCAAAUGAAGGAACAGCUCAGCUGAUGUCAGAACGGAGUCUUUAAGGUCGUCUCUAUUACUUCCUCCAAGCACUUCACACCCAGCCUCCUGGAAGGGCUGCUCCAUCAGCCCAGCCCCUGAAAUCACGUUGCAUCUAUAUUCUUGGCAAAGAUCUUCAGACACAAUGUCACCCAGACCUUCUCAUCUACCCUGUGCAUGGUGAGCUACUCUAAUAGUAAGGAGUCAGGCAUCACCACGGGAUGGGGUGGAAGCUCUCAGUGGACCCUCCCAACAGCCUGUAAGCCUAACACGGGGAUACCUGCCACUCAGAGACCCAGCCCUGCCAAGAA